Molecule: ribosomal RNA, 490 nt
Filed under: uncultured bacterium
Lineage: Bacteria
Description: bacterial SSU rRNA
Rfam family: Bacterial small subunit ribosomal RNA
Source: RNAcentral
AUUGAACGCUGGCGGCAUGCCUUACACAUGCAAGUCGAACGGUAACGGGCCUUCGGGUGCCGACGAGUGGCGAACGGGUGAGUAAUGCAUCGGAACGUACCUUUCAGUGGGGGAUAACGUAGCGAAAGUUACGCUAAUACCGCAUAUUCUGUGAGCAGGAAAGCAGGGGAUCGCAAGACCUUGCGCUGAUUGAGCGGCCGAUGUCAGAUUAGCUAGUUGGUGAGGUAAAGGCUCACCAAGGCGACGAUCUGUAGCGGGUCUGAGAGGAUGAUCCGCCACACUGGAACUGAGACACGGUCCAGACUCCUACGGGAGGCAGCAGUGGGGAAUUUUGGACAAUGGGGGCAACCCUGAUCCAGCCAUGCCGCGUGAGUGAAGAAGGCCUUCGGGUUGUAAAGCUCUUUCGGCCGGGAGAAAUCGCAUGGGUUAAUACCCUGUGCGGAUGACGGUACCGGCAUAAGAAGCACCGGCUAACUACGUGCCAGCAGCC